UCGAGAAGAUUUAUGCUGCAAUGGUACGAGUUUCAUCGUUCUAAUAACAACAUCCAUCCUCGACGAAAUGUGCCACCUCUAUUAGGCUAGCUGCCCCAUAUGUAAUUUUCUAGUGUCUACACUUCGAUGGCUUCCUUGAUUCUUGUUCGUGUGUAUCAUUUAUAUUCUUGAAAUUAGAUUAAUUUCACACAUUAGAAAAAUCAAUUGAAUAAUUUAUAAGCUAACUCACCAAACCUAACAUCGCAUCUUCAUUUUCACGUAACAUUGUUCUCUAUAUAAAUUCCGCAUCUCGGAAUAAUUUAUAAGCUCAUUCCAUUUCAAAUUUGCCGGCACUUCAAUUUACGUCCCCGGAAUUUAUUUGGAUCUGGCCGGAAUAUUCUACUCCGGCACCCACGUUAAUUGUCCCAUCUUUACAAUCAAUUUCACAGGCCAGGUAUUUACUUGUUUAAAUGUGUACACAUUCUUAAUCAUGAAUCUCAACAAGAAAUCCCAAUUUCGAUAGAUCUAUAGUGAAUAAAUUGAUUCCUAUGCAAUCGGUUUCGCCUUCACCGUUUCAGUGCUUGAUCCGGAAAGUUGAGGUUUUGUUUUCAUGCGGACGAAUUUUAGAAUUUGUUGUUCUGAUGAGAUGUGGCCGUAAUGCGAUUUUUGUGGGUGUGUGUGUGUGUUUUGAAUUGUAAUGGAUUCAAAAAUAGGC
RNAcentral lists this long non-coding RNA (694 nucleotides) under Olea europaea (common olive). RNAcentral's name for it is "long non-coding RNA (OEUR_LNC002363)". Lineage: Eukaryota; Viridiplantae; Streptophyta; Magnoliopsida; Lamiales; Oleaceae. The record is from RNAcentral.